Mytilus californianus (California mussel) is the source of this 2428-nucleotide RNA transcript. It is a transcript of the gene named transcription factor HES-1-like, with no coding region annotated. The record is from RefSeq and is a predicted model, not a curated record. The transcript has 5 exons. Lineage: Eukaryota; Metazoa; Mollusca; Bivalvia; Mytilida; Mytilidae.
GAUUGACACAAAUGAAAAACAUAUUUUAAAAGAGUUAUAAGACAGUACAAGUGUUGCAUUUAAUGAAAUAAAAUGUAAAGUGCUUAAACUUGUUCAUUUCAAGGAAAAUGAAUAAUAAUGAUAAUAAUAAUACGGUAGGGUCGAGUCAGGAUAAUCAAGACAAAAUGACUGAAGAUUUAGAUAAAGAGACAGAAAAAGUUACCUCCUCUGCACCCGACAGGCGAAAGACAUCUAAGCCUAUCAUGGAGAAGAGAAGAAGAGCAAGAAUCAAUGCCAGUCUCACUGAAUUGAAAACGUUUCUUUUGGAUGUCAUAAAAAAAGAAGGAUUACGACACAACAAGAUGGAAAAGGCUGAUAUUCUAGAAUUGACAGUUAGACAUUUGCGGCAGCUUCAAAGACAACAGUAUACAGUUUCAACACCCGGUGAAGGAUCAACAUGUGACACAUUUAGAUUAGGUUUCAGUGAAUGUACAUCUGAAGUGACUAAAUUUCUGUCAAGAAUGUCUAACAUAGAACCUAAUUUCCAAGUAAAUUUAUUGGAACAUUUGUCGACCUGCUCAAACUCAGAGAACAGUUUAAAGUUCCUUAAUACGUCUGUUUCUCCAGUAAGUUCAAACUCUUCUAUUCAAUCAGAAAUAACAAGGGAGCAGCAAAAUUUAGAAAAGUGUUCGGCUAGUUCAAUGACGUUUGAUAAUACUGCAGACAUUUUAUAUAGCAGUCACCAUACCGACGAUAAAUUAGUGAAACCAGGAAACGCUAGCUCAACACAUCUGUGCAACUUGUCUUCACAACAGUCUAAAAUGUUGGAUACAGACCGAACGAUUCAACAUCCCUUAAGAGCAAGCACACCACAUAUGCACAAUUUUUCUUUGCAUCAAUCUAAAAUGUUGGACGCAGACAGAUCAGUACAACACCCAGUAAGCAUAUCUACAUCAACGAAUGGACCUACUGUCCAACCUUUUCAGCAGCUAAAAACAUGUGCCACUCCGAUUGGAAACGUAAUUGGUAAUGUGGCUUUUGGAAACAUAAUAAGCGGCAUACAACUAGUCCCUGUCCAACUUCCGUCUGGCGAAACUUUAUAUUUUAUUCCAACUAAUAUAUUAACUAAUACCUGUGUUCCUAUUAGUAAAACAUCAAUUCCCAUCACAAAUGUCAUAUCUCAGAACACUGCCCAACCAGCUGUGUCGUCUGCAUUCCCGUGUGUUCAAUCAUCCUCGAGAACGGUCAUAGAAAACAUUCGAAUACCAUCAGAUAGUCCGAGGGAAAAUUAUACCGAGAAUAACCAAAAUGAAAGCUCACUCAACUACUUUGAUAGGACAGUAAGAAAUAACAUCGAACGAAAUGGUCCGACUGCUUCCAGAAAUGAGCCUCAAAUAUCACUACGACAACAUGAAGGCUUAGAACCCGUAUGGAGGCCAUGGUGAAAUGUUAUACGGUGUUUUUGUUGCUUUAAUCUCAUAAUGAAAGACUCCAAAACGCUGUUUCCAAAUGCUAUUGGAAAUUCAAAGCAGAAUUAAUGGAAAGCGAAAAUAUGCAAAACAGCAGUGACAUUUGUAAAAAAACUAACACCACAACGUUGUGAUUGGCUAUGACAACGGGAAUUCAACCAACGGCUUGACGGUAUUUCAUUUUGGGUACGAACGAUGAAAUAAACAAAAUUCCUUUAGAUUAUUAAACGCGGAGUGAUGCACCAUAUAACAACAAAAUGAUUACAAAUAAAAUGCUUGCACAAACUACAAUUAAAGGAAUCAACCAGUGUCUCGCAUGAAGCACAAUUUGGAGACAUACGCCGCGUAAUCAUUACAAAUUGGUUUACCGAUACGAUGCAUCUGGGUCUAAAUUUAAGAAAGACAUGUUUGACUGUCUUUUACAAGUGUCAAGACACCAGAAACGUCAUCUGAUCUUAUCGGUACAUUUUUACUGAGUGUGGAUUAGCAUGGCGGAUAAUAACCCAUACAUACUAGGAGACGCUUACCUUGUCGACGCAACCGGCUUCGUUACAUUUCGAAUACAUACGAUUCCCUCGAUUUAUUUUCUCUUACGUGUAGUUAUUAGUUUCCAAAUGGAUUUAAAAGGAUAAACUUGUAUUGCCUCUUAUGGACUCCACUGUUGCUACCUGCCCGUUCCCGUAUCACGUCAUUUGAUAAAUGGAUAUCAAUCAUAACUUGCUGAGAACACUAAUGGUUUUGGAAGCAUUGUCUCAUAUUACGUUUAUUCUUUAAAAAUUCAUCGUGAAAAAAUUGUGCAAAUGUAAGAAUACGGACAGUUUUGCCAAUCGAACCUACAUUACUGGCCUACCCACCGAGCCUGAUAUAUUUACCGAAACAAUAUCGCAAAACGUUUUUCUCAAAAACUUGACAAUUGCUGAAUUAUGUUUGAUGUUUAUUUUCCUGUCUAUAUAUUUUUAUUAUAAAGACGCAAUGAUCGA